AUUUUUUAAAUUUCCAAACACGGCGCAAAGACUACAAAGAUAUGCCAAAAUAAAAAUAGUUAUUUACGAUGUGAACUGGCACAACUCUAAAUUCCCAAAGGUGGUGACAGUUGAGAUGUUAAACAACUGCGUGGAAAUACAGUCCUAAUAAACAGUCCUGACAGAUCUAAGCUGGUAUAAUAUUUAAAAUAUGACAACGGUAGAGCAAUUGCAGACUGCGUUUUUAAACAUCCCAAAAAUAUAGUAAUUAGAUGAUAAGAAAAAUGAGUAAUACAUUUUUACUAAGGUUAAGUAAUAGAACGUGGC
Molecule: long non-coding RNA, 306 nt
Filed under: Mytilus galloprovincialis (Mediterranean mussel)
Lineage: Eukaryota; Metazoa; Mollusca; Bivalvia; Mytilida; Mytilidae
Source: RNAcentral